AGUGAACGCUGGCGGUAGGCCUAACACAUGCAAGUCGAACGGCAGCACAGUAAGAGCUUGCUCUUACGGGUGGCGAGUGGCGGACGGGUGAGGAAUACAUCGGAAUCUACUUUUUCGUGGGGGAUAACGUAGGGAAACUUACGCUAAUACCGCAUACGACCUACGGGUGAAAGCAGGGGAUCUUCGGACCUUGCGCGAUUGAAUGAGCCGAUGUCGGAUUAGCUAGUUGGCGGGGUAAAGGCCCACCAAGGCGACGAUCGGUAGCUGGUCUGAGAGGAUGAUCAGCCACACUGGAACUGAGACACGGUCCAGACUCCUACGGGAGGCAGCAGUGGGGAAUAUUGGGCAAUGGGCGCAAGCCUGAUCCAGCCAUACCGCGUGGGUGAAGAAGGCCUUCGGGUUGUAAAGCCCUUUUGUUGGGAAAGAAAAGCAGCAGGUUAAUACCCCGCUGUUCUGACGGUACCCAAAGAAUAAGCACCGGCUAACUUCGUG
RNAcentral lists this ribosomal RNA (492 nucleotides) under uncultured bacterium. RNAcentral describes it as "partial 16S ribosomal RNA". It matches the Rfam family "Bacterial small subunit ribosomal RNA", at positions 29 to 507 of the family's 1533-position model. The record is from RNAcentral.